This 691-nucleotide ribosomal RNA is filed under the name Salmonella enterica. RNAcentral's name for it is "partial 23S ribosomal RNA". It matches the Rfam family "Bacterial large subunit ribosomal RNA", at positions 1 to 725 of the family's 2925-position model. The record is from RNAcentral. Lineage: Bacteria; Pseudomonadati; Pseudomonadota; Gammaproteobacteria; Enterobacterales; Enterobacteriaceae.
GGGUUGUGAGGUUAAGCGACUAAGCGUACACGGUGGAUGCCCUGGCAGUCAGAGGCGAUGAAGGACGUGCUAAUCUGCGAUAAGCGCCGGUAAGGUGAUAUGAACCGUUAUAACCGGCGAUUUCCGAAUGGGGAAACCCAGUGUGAUUCGUCACACUAUCAUUAACUGAAUCCAUAGGUUAAUGAGGCGAACCGGGGGAACUGAAACAUCUAAGUACCCCGAGGAAAAGAAAUCAACCGAGAUUCCCCCAGUAGCGGCGAGCGAACGGGGAGGAGCCCAGAGCCUGAAUCAGCAUGUGUGUUAGUGGAAGCGUCUGGAAAGGUGCGCGAUACAGGGUGACAGCCCCGUACACAAAAGCGCAUGUGCUGUGAGCUCGAUGAGUAGGGCGGGACACGUGGUAUCCUGUCUGAAUAUGGGGGGACCAUCCUCCAAGGCUAAAUACUCCUGACUGACCGAUAGUGAACCAGUACCGUGAGGGAAAGGCGAAAAGAACCCCGGCGAGGGGAGUGAAAAAGAACCUGAAACCGUGUACGUACAAGCAGUGGGAGCACCCUUCGGGGUGUGACUGCGUACCUUUUGUAUAAUGGGUCAGCGACUUAUAUUCUGUAGCAAGGUUAACCGUAUAGGGGAGCCGGAGGGAAACCGAGUCUUAACCGGGCGUUAAGUUGCAGGGUAUAGACCCGAAACCCGG